CUGGGAGACAAGCCCCAGCCCCAGGAGUCCCAGGUGUUCCCAUUCUGUGAUCAGCACAGAACGCACACCCCUCACCAUGGAGUUUGUGCUGGGCUGGGUAUUUCUGGUUGCUCUUUUAAAAGGUAAUUAAUGAUGAACGAGGGACACUGAGUCUGUGAAUGGAAAUGAGUGAAACAGUGGAUGUGUGACAGUUUCCUGACCAAAAUGCCUUGUGUCUGCAGGUGUCCAGUGUGAUGUGCAGCUGGUGGAGUCUGGGGGAGAACUUGCGAAGCCUGGGGGGUCCCUGAGACUCACCUGUGUGGCCUCUGGAUUCACCUUCAGUAGCUACUACAUGCACUGGGUUCGCCAGGCUCCAGGGAAGGGGCUGCAGUGGG
Molecule: long non-coding RNA, 374 nt
Filed under: Lynx pardinus (Iberian lynx)
Lineage: Eukaryota; Metazoa; Chordata; Mammalia; Carnivora; Felidae
Source: RNAcentral